CUCUUCUCUUUGUUCUCCGUCUGGGUUCUUCUCUACACAACAACACACAAAGAGACCGUACCAGAUCGUGUGGAUGAAGACAGCGGACAUACUUGUGUUUCUCCUCCAACCACUCGAUUUGACUCUCCUCCACCCGCCUGCCAGAAGAACAACACAUGGGCUUUCAGAGCGGCCUGGGAUUCCACCAGCUGUCUGUUCUGAACCCGCUGGACGUUCUCCGCCUGCUGCUCCGAGUGGUCCUUCUGAGCCUGCAAUUCCGCCACCUCUGCCUGGAGACCCUUCAAGCGCAAGCAUCUUCUGAAGCUCCAUCUCGGCCCCGGCGGACAAACCGGGCAUGGAUGAAGACGCCCCCGCGCCGGGCCCCAGGCUAGCCCC
Molecule: long non-coding RNA, 375 nt
Organism: Hippocampus comes (tiger tail seahorse)
Lineage: Eukaryota; Metazoa; Chordata; Actinopteri; Syngnathiformes; Syngnathidae
Exons: 4
Source: RefSeq, a predicted model, not a curated record